Molecule: long non-coding RNA, 764 nt
Organism: Scylla paramamosain (green mud crab)
Lineage: Eukaryota; Metazoa; Arthropoda; Malacostraca; Decapoda; Portunidae
Exons: 3
Source: RefSeq, a predicted model, not a curated record
AUUCGGAGACAGCCGGAGCCCACGAAGUUGAGCGCGCAGGGUAGGUGACGCAGAUCCUUGCGGGCGGCGGGCAGAGUAGAACGUGUGUCAUUGCGAGUGUUUGCGUGCGUUCCAGUAAUCAAGUCUUCGCUGUCUCCCUCAUCGUGGUCUGCGCAUCAAUUUGGUAAGUACCAUGCACAGCUCAUCGCGGGACAGCGUGGGACAGCGCUGGAGCACCUCGUCGAACCAGGUAAGGAGAGUUGUGUUCCUAGGGCGUUAGGGCGAUAGGCUGUUAGGCUGCUAACUCUUUGCCUUUCAGGUACCUCACACUCAUGGUUUCUGUAGAUUAUUCCACAGCAUUACCGUUAGUAGCAGACCACAGCGGCGGUGGAAUGAAGAAACAAGGGCAGUGAAGAGGCGUGAUGGAGUGGAGAGACCGCUAAGGAGGGCAGCUUGUAUUUGACGCUGUGAAGGAGUUGUACUGAAGGUGACAAGAUUGCGAGGAAGAACUGAUGCUCUGUACACAAGUAAUGAUGGCCUAAGCAGCUACUUCUGACUACGAGGAAAAAUCAAGAUGCCGAUGUUCAGAUGAAAGCUGCCACACGAGGAAGGAAGCCACGGAUAAAGGUGAGACAAGAACCUUACAGGUGCCAAAAUCGUAUACCUUCCCCUGCAGGUGCUAACUAACCAACCUUUUCUUGCAGGUACUAACCAACCAACCUUCCCUUACGGGUGCUAACCAACCAACCUUCCCCUACAGGUGCUAACCAACCAACCUUCCCCUA